UGGGGAAUAUUGGACAAUGGGGGAAACCCUGAUCCAGCAAUGCCGCGUGAGUGAAGAAGGCCUUAGGGUUGUAAAGCUCUUUCGCCCGCGAAGAUAAUGACGGUAGCGGGAGAAGAAGCCCCGGCUAACUCCGUGCCAGCAGCCGCGGUAAUACGGAGGGGGCUAGCGUUGUUCGGAAUUACUGGGCGUAAAGCGUACGUAGGCGGAUGCGCAAGUUGGGGGUGAAAUCCCGGGGCUUAACCUCGGAAUUGCCCUCAAAACUGCACGUCUUGAGACCGAGAGAGGUAAGGGGAAUUCCUAGCGUAGAGGUGAAAUUCGUAGAUAUUAGGAAGAACACCAGUGGCGAAGGCGGCUUACUGGCUCGGUACUGACGCUGAGGUACGAA
This 385-nucleotide ribosomal RNA is filed under the name uncultured bacterium. Its description in RNAcentral is "bacterial SSU rRNA". It matches the Rfam family "Bacterial small subunit ribosomal RNA", at positions 355 to 757 of the family's 1533-position model. The record is from RNAcentral.